GAAAUGCGAUAAGUAAUGUGAAUUGCAGAAUUCAGUGAAUCAUCGAAUCUUUGAACGCACAUUGCGCCCGCCAGCACUCUGGCGGGCAUGCCUGUUCGAGCGUCAUUUCAACCCUCAGAACCCCUUGCGGGAUCUGGCGUUGGGGACGCCGCCCCCGAAAUCUAGUGGCGGCCCUCCGAGGCGACCUCUGCGUAGUAACUUGUUCUCGCACCGGAAAGCUCAGAGCGGCCACGCCGUAAAACCCCAACUUUUUUCAGGUUGACCUCGAAUCAGGUAGGACUACCCGCUGAACUUAA
RNAcentral lists this unclassified non-coding RNA (296 nucleotides) under uncultured Plectosphaerellaceae. Its description in RNAcentral is "sequence contains ITS1". The stretch from base 1 to 105 matches the Rfam family "5.8S ribosomal RNA", at positions 50 to 154 of the family's 154-position model. Lineage: Eukaryota; Fungi; Ascomycota; Sordariomycetes; Glomerellales; Plectosphaerellaceae. The record is from RNAcentral.